GAUGAAGAACGUAGCGAAAUGCGAUACUUGGUGUGAAUUGCAGAAUCCCGCGAAUCAUCGAGUUUUUGAACGCAAGUUUCGCCCGAAGCCAUUCGGCCGAGGGCACGUCUGCCUGGGUGUCACGCAUCGUUGCCCCCCCAAACUCCGGUUCGGGCGGGGCGGAAGUUGGCCUCCCGUGCGUGCCUGCGCGCGCGGUUAGCCCAAAAGCGAGUCCUCGGCGACGAGCGCCACGACAAUCGGUGGUUUUUUUACCCUCGUUCCUCGUCGUGCGUGUCCCGUCGCCCAAACGCGCUCUUGUGACCCUCACGCGUCGCCUCGGCGGCGCUCCCAACGCGACCCCAGGUCAGGCGGGACUACCCGCUGAGUUUAAGCAUAUCAAUAAGCGGAGGA
RNAcentral lists this unclassified non-coding RNA (390 nucleotides) under soil metagenome. Its description in RNAcentral is "partial contains 5.8S ribosomal RNA, internal transcribed spacer 2, and large subunit ribosomal RNA". The stretch from base 1 to 122 matches the Rfam family "5.8S ribosomal RNA", at positions 35 to 154 of the family's 154-position model. The record is from RNAcentral.